CACAUCCCCAGCCCUAUUUUGUAUUUUAUUUAGAGACAGGGUCUCACUGAGUUGCUUAGCACCUCACUUUUGCUGAGGCUGGCUUUGAAUUUGUGAUCCUCCUGCCUCAGACUCCGGAGCCCCUGGGAUUACAGGCAUGACCACAUUGCCUGGCUUCAGCACAUGAAGCUUUUGGGGGGCAUUUCAUAUGGAAACCAAAAUAUACAGUAAUCUGUGUAUGUAGCUUUUUUGUUUGUUUGUUUGUGGGGUGAGGGGAUUACUGUGCCAAUAUUUGGAUCUCUCUAAUUCCUAACAGAGGACUUUACAUAUUACAAGCCACAGUGAACAGAUGUUUCAGGGGAGCCCUUAUGGUGAAAGAGUUUGCAAAAAUUAAGAUUUUCCUCUCGUUAUUAUGUGUUCACUUUGCUUAACAUAAGAUUCAGCUAUUCAGGGCUGAGGUUGUGGCUCAGUAGAGCGCUCACCUAGCACGUGCGAGGCCCUGGGUUCAAUCCUCAGCACCAC
Molecule: long non-coding RNA, 501 nt
Filed under: Marmota monax (woodchuck)
Lineage: Eukaryota; Metazoa; Chordata; Mammalia; Rodentia; Sciuridae
Source: RNAcentral